This 374-nucleotide ribosomal RNA is filed under the name uncultured organism. Its description in RNAcentral is "partial 16S ribosomal RNA". It matches the Rfam family "Bacterial small subunit ribosomal RNA", at positions 527 to 896 of the family's 1533-position model. The record is from RNAcentral.
GUAGGGGGCAAGCGUUGUCCGGAUUCAUUGGGCGUAAAGCGCGUGUAGGCGGUUCAAUAGGUCCGAUGUGAAAACUCGAGGCUCAACUUCGAGAGGCCAUCGGAAACCAUUGGACUAGAGUCCGGAAGAGGAGAGUGGAAUUCCUGGUGUAGCGGUGAAAUGCGCAGAUAUCAGGAAGAACACCGAUGGCGAAGGCAGCUCUCUGGGACGGUACUGACGCUGAGACGCGAAAGCGUGGGGGAGCGAACAGGAUUAGAUACCCUGGUAGUCCACGCCGUAAACGAUGGGCACUAGGUGUGGGUGGUGUCGACUCCAUCCGUGCCGCAGCUAACGCAUUAAGUGCCCCCCGCCUGGGGAGUACGGCCGCAAGGCUA